CCUACGGGAGGCAGCAGUGAGGAAUAUUGGUCAAUGGGCGCGAGCCUGAACCAGCCAAGUAGCGUGAAUGAUGACUGCCCUACGGGUUGUAAACUUCUUUUAUAAAGGAAUAGAGUUAGGCACGUGUGCCUUUUUGUAUGUACUUUAUGAAUAAGGAUCGGCUAACUCCGUGCCAGCAGCCGCGGUAAUACGGAGGAUCCGAGCGUUAUCCGGAUUUAUUGGGUUUAAAGGGAGCGGAGAUGGGUUGUUAAGUCAGUUGUGAAAGUUUGCGGCUCAACCGUAAAAUUGCAAUUGAUACUGGCAGGCUUGAGUACAGUUGAGGUAGGCGGAAUUCGUGGUGUAGCGGUGAAAUGCUUAGAGAUCACGAAGAAAGCCGAUUGCGAAGGCAGCUUACUAAACUGCCACUGACAUUGAUGCGCGAAAGUGUGGGUAUCAAACAGGAUUAGAUACCCUAGUAGUC
RNAcentral lists this ribosomal RNA (460 nucleotides) under uncultured bacterium. Its description in RNAcentral is "partial 16S ribosomal RNA". It matches the Rfam family "Bacterial small subunit ribosomal RNA", at positions 338 to 795 of the family's 1533-position model. The record is from RNAcentral.